AGAGUUUGAUCCUGGCUCAGAACGUACGCUGGCGGCACGCCUAAUACAUGCAAGUCGAACGAAGUAGCAAUACUUAGUGGCAGACGGGUGAGUAACAUGUAGGUAUCUACCCUUUGGUCUGGAAUAACACGAGGAAACUUGUGCUAAUACCGGAUAAGUCUUUACGGAGAAAGCUUUAUGCACCAUUGGAUGAGCCUGCACUUGAUUAGUUUGUUGGUGGGGUAAUGGCCUACCAAGACAAUGAUCAAUAGCUGAUUUGAGAGGAUGAUCAGCCACAUUGGGACUGAGACACGGCCCAAACUCCUACGGGAGGCAGCAGUAGGGAAUCUUGCACAAUGGAGGAAACUCUGAUGCAGCGAUGCCGCGUGAGUGAAGAAGGCCUUUGGGUUGUAAAGCUCUUUCGUCGGGGAAGAAAAUGACUGUACCCGAAUAAGAAGGUCCGGCUAACUUCGUGCCAGCAGCCGCGGUAAUACGAAGGGACCUAGCGUAGUUCGGAAUUACUGGGCUUAAAGAGUUCGUAGGUGGUUAAAAAAGUUGGUGGUGAAAUCCCAGAGCUUAACUCUGGAACUGCCAUCAAAACUUUUUAGCUAGAGUAUGGUAGAGGAAAGCAGAAUUUCUAGUGUAGAGGUGAAAUUCGUAGAUAUUAGAAAGAAUACCAAUUGCGAAGGCAGCUUUCUGGAUCAUUACUGACACUGAGGAACGAAAGCAUGGGUAGCGAAGAGGAUUAGAUACCCUCGUAGUCCAUGCCGUAAACGAUGUGUGUUAGACGUUGGAAAUUUAUUUUCAGUGUCGCAGCGAAAGCGAUAAACACACCGCCUGGGGAGUACGACCGCAAGGUUAAAACUCAAAUGAAUUGACGGGGACCCGCACAAGUAGUGGAGCAUGUGGUUUAAUUCGAAGAUACGCGCAGAACCUUACCAACACUUGACAUGUUCGUCGCGACUCUAAGAGAUUAGAGUUUUCGGUUCGGCCGGACGAAACACAGGUGCUGCAUGGCUGUCGUCAGCUCGUGUCGUGAGAUGUUGGGUUAAGUCCCGCAACGAGCGCAACCCUCACUUUUAGUUGCCAUCAUUUAGUUGGGCACUCUGAAAGAACUGCCAGUGAUAAGCUGGAGGAAGGUGGGGAUGACGUCAAGUCCUCAUGGCCCUUAUGUGUUGGGCUACACACGUGCUACAAUGGUAUCUACAACAGGAAGCAAGAUGGCAACAUUAAGCAAAUCCCAAAAAGAUACCUCAGUUCGGAUUGCACUCUGCAACUCGAGUGCAUGAAGCUGGAAUUACUAGUAAUCGUGGAUCAGCGUGCCACGGUGAAUACGUUCCCGGGUCUUGUACACACCGCCCGUCACACCAUGGGAGUUGGUUCUACCUUAAGGCAAAGUUUAAAACCUUUGACCACGGUAUAGUCAGCGACUGGGGUGAAGUCGUAACAAGGUAACC
RNAcentral lists this ribosomal RNA (1436 nucleotides) under uncultured bacterium. RNAcentral describes it as "bacterial SSU rRNA". It matches the Rfam family "Bacterial small subunit ribosomal RNA". The record is from RNAcentral.